This 803-nucleotide ribosomal RNA is filed under the name uncultured Actinomycetes bacterium. Its description in RNAcentral is "bacterial SSU rRNA". It matches the Rfam family "Bacterial small subunit ribosomal RNA", at positions 58 to 847 of the family's 1533-position model. The record is from RNAcentral. Lineage: Bacteria; Bacillati; Actinomycetota; Actinomycetes.
CAAGUCGAGCGAGAACCAGUCCUUCGGGACUGGGGACAGCGGCGAACGGGUGAGUAUCACGUGGGUAAUCUGCCCUCGGCACCGGGAUAGCCCGGGGAAACCCGGAUUAAUACCGGAUAGCCUCUCGAGCCUUCGGGCUCGUCAGAAAAGGUGGCUUCGGCUUCCGGCUGAGGAUGAGCCCGCGGCGGAUUAGCUUGUUGGCGGGGUAAUGGCCCACCAAGGCGACGAUCCGUAGCUGGUCUGAGAGGACGAUCAGCCACACUGGGACUGAGACACGGCCCAGACUCCUACGGGAGGCAGCAGUGGGGGAUCUUGCGCAAUGGGCGAAAGCCUGACGCAGCGACGCCGCGUGCGGGAAGAAGGCCUUCGGGUUGUAAACCGCUUUCAGGAGGGACGAAGCCACUCGGGUUAAUAGCCCAGAGGGUGACGGUACCUCCAGAAGAAGCCCCGGCUAACUACGUGCCAGCAGCCGCGGUAAUACGUAGGGGGCAAGCGUUGUCCGGAUUUAUUGGGCGUAAAGAGCGUGUAGGCGGCCAGGUAGGUCAGCUGUGAAAACUCGAGGCUCAACCUCGAGAUGUCGGCUGAAACCAUCUGGCUAGAGUCCGGAAGAGGAGAAUGGAAUUCCCGGUGUAGCGGUGAAAUGCGCAGAUAUCGGGAAGAACACCCGUGGCGAAGGCGGUUCUCUGGGACGGUACUGACGCUGAGACGCGAAAGCGUGGGGAGCGAACAGGAUUAGAUACCCUGGUAGUCCACGCCGUAAACGAUGGGAACUAGGUGUGGGCGGUGUCGACUCCGUCCGUGCC